CUAGAUUUUUUUAAUCUUAAUCUUCAAUGAAUUAUUACUAUUAAGAGAACUGAUCAAGUGCGUGGCUAUAUAUCAAACUCCGAAAUUUUUGGUAUUGUACGCAGUUAUGAUCUUAAUCUUUGGCUAAGGGUAUGAUUGGGAUUGCAUUAGCUUGCUAAAUAAUCCAUCCUCAUAUAAAUUCUCCAAUAAUUAACUUUGCAAAUAAUUUGAUGAGAUGUUUGGUAAAAUUGGAUUAUAAGGAAAUCAAUUAUUAAAUAAUUUACUUAACAUGUUUGUCGUAUUAAUCAAAAAAUUGUGUUGUGUGCAAAUUACCAAGAUGGACAAGUUUUCUUAUAUAGUAAUAUAUAAUGAUAAUUAUUACGAUUUAUU
RNAcentral lists this long non-coding RNA (369 nucleotides) under Citrus x clementina. Its description in RNAcentral is "Citrus clementina (C. clementina) long non-coding RNA (CCLE_LNC006438)". The record is from RNAcentral. Lineage: Eukaryota; Viridiplantae; Streptophyta; Magnoliopsida; Sapindales; Rutaceae.